AUGCGAGUCGAAAGAGUUUAGGCUCGUGGCGUACGGCUCAGUAACACGUGGAUAACCUACCCUUAGGACUGGGAUAACCCUGGGAAACUGGGGAUAAUACUGGAUAGGCAAUUUUUCCUGUAAUGGUUUUUUGUUUAAAUGUUUUUUCGCCUAAGGAUGGGUCUGCGGCCGAUUAGGUAGUUGGUUAGGUAAUGGCUUACCAAGCCGUUGAUCGGUACGGGUUGUGAGAGCAAGAGCCCGGAGAUGGAACCUGAGACAAGGUUCCAGGCCCUACGGGGUGCAGCAGGCGCGAAACCUCCGCAAUGUGAGAAAUCGCGACGGGGGGAUCCCAAGUGCCAUUCUUAACGGGAUGGCUUUUCAUUAGUGUAAAGAGCUUUUGGAAUAAGAGCUGGGCAUGACCGGUGCCAGCCGCCGCGGUAACACCGGCAGCUCUAGUGGUAGCAAUUUUUAUUGGGCCUAAAGCGUCCGUAGCCGGUUUAAUAAGUCUCUGGUGAAAUCCUGUAGCUUAACUGUGGGAAUUGCUGGAGAUACUAUUAGACUUGAGACCGGGAGAGGUUAGAGGUACUCCCAGGGUAGAGGUGAAAUUCUGUAAUCCUGGGAGGACCGCCUGUUGCGAAGGCGUCUAACUGGAACGGUUCUGACGGUGAGGGACGAAAGUUAGGGGCGCGAACCGGAUUAGAUACCCGGGUAGUCCUAACUGUAAACGAUGCGGACUUGGUGUUGGGGUGGCUUUGAGCUGCUUCAGUGCCGAAGGGAAGCUGUUAAGUCCGCCGCCUGGGAAGUACGGUCGCAAGACUGAAACUUAAAGGAAUUGGCGGGGGAGCACCACAACGCGUGGAGCCUGCGGUUUAAUUGGAUUCAACGCCGGACAUCUCACCAGAGGCGACAGCUGUAUGAUAGCCAGGUUGAUGACUUUGCUUGACUAGCUGAGAGGUGGUGCAUGGCC
RNAcentral lists this ribosomal RNA (946 nucleotides) under uncultured Methanobrevibacter sp. Its description in RNAcentral is "bacterial SSU rRNA". It matches the Rfam family "Archaeal small subunit ribosomal RNA", at positions 51 to 999 of the family's 1478-position model. Lineage: Archaea; Methanobacteriati; Methanobacteriota; Methanobacteria; Methanobacteriales; Methanobacteriaceae. The record is from RNAcentral.